GCUGGGUUAGCUUAAUUGGUAAAGCCACGGUUUUGUAAUCCGUAGACUGGGAGUUCAAGUCUCCCACUUAGCCCA
Molecule: transfer RNA, 75 nt
Filed under: Caudoviricetes sp.
Lineage: Duplodnaviria; Heunggongvirae; Uroviricota; Caudoviricetes
Description: tRNA-Thr
Rfam family: tRNA
About the family: Transfer RNA (tRNA) molecules are approximately 80 nucleotides in length.
Source: RNAcentral